Molecule: ribosomal RNA, 497 nt
Filed under: uncultured bacterium
Lineage: Bacteria
Description: partial 16S ribosomal RNA
Rfam family: Bacterial small subunit ribosomal RNA
Source: RNAcentral
GAUGAACGCUGGCGGCGUGCCUAAUACAUGCAAGUCGAGCGAACAGACGAGGAGCUUGCUCCUCUGACGUUAGCGGCGGACGGGUGAGUAACACGUGGAUAACCUACCUAUAAGACUGGGAUAACUUCGGGAAACCGGAUCUAAUACCGGAUAAUAUAUUGAACCGCAUGGUUCAAUAGUGAAAGACGGUUUUGCUGUCACUUAUAGAUGGAUCCACGCCGCAUUAGCUAGUUGGUAAGGUAACGGCUUACCAAGGCAACGAUGCGUAGCCGACCUGAGAGGGUGAUCGGCCACACUGGAACUGAGACACGGUCCAGACUCCUACGGGAGGCAGCAGUAGGGAAUCUUCCGCAAUGGGCGAAAGCCUGACGGAGCAACGCCGCGUGAGUGAUGAAGGUCUUCGGAUCGUAAAACUCUGUUAUUAGGGAAGAACAAAUGUGUAAGUAACUAUGCACGUCUUGACGGUACCUAAUCAGAAAGCCACGGCUAACUACGUG